UCUCUGUCAAGAUGUGUGGUCCCACAUCAAA
RNAcentral lists this non-coding RNA (31 nucleotides) under Mus musculus (house mouse). The record is from RNAcentral. Lineage: Eukaryota; Metazoa; Chordata; Mammalia; Rodentia; Muridae.